AUUGAACGCUGGCGGCAUGCCUUACACAUGCAAGUCGAGCGGCAGCGGACCUUCGGGUGCCGGCGAGUGGCGAACGGGUGAGUAAUAUAUCGGAACGUACCUUUCAGUGGGGGAUAACGUAGCGAAAGUUACGCUAAUACCGCAUAUUCUGUGAGCAGGAAAGCAGGGGAUCGCAAGACCUUGCGCUGAUUGAGCGGCCGAUAUCAGAUUAGCUAGUUGGUGAGGUAACGGCCCACCAAGGCGACGAUCGAUAGCUGGUCUGAGAGGAUGAUCAGCCACACUGGGACUGAGACACGGCCCAGACUCCUACGGGAGGCAGCAGUGGGGAAUUUUGGACAAUGGGCGCAAGCCUGAUCCAGCCAUGCCGCGUGAGUGAAGAAGGCCUCGG
This 388-nucleotide ribosomal RNA is filed under the name uncultured bacterium. Its description in RNAcentral is "bacterial SSU rRNA". It matches the Rfam family "Bacterial small subunit ribosomal RNA", at positions 30 to 420 of the family's 1533-position model. The record is from RNAcentral.